Molecule: ribosomal RNA, 455 nt
Filed under: uncultured bacterium
Lineage: Bacteria
Description: bacterial SSU rRNA
Rfam family: Bacterial small subunit ribosomal RNA
Source: RNAcentral
GAUUGAACGCUGGCGGCAGGCUUAACACAUGCAAGUCGAGCGGUAGCACAGGGGAGCUUGCUCCCUGGGUGACGAGCGGCGGACGGGUGAGUAAUGUCUGGGAAACUGCCUGAUGGAGGGGGAUAACUACUGGAAACGGUAGCUAAUACCGCAUAACGUCGCAAGACCAAAGAGGGGGACCUUCGGGCCUCUUGCCAUCAGAUGUGCCCAGAUGGGAUUAGCUAGUAGGUGGGGUAAUGGCUCACCUAGGCGACGAUCCCUAGCUGGUCUGAGAGGAUGACCAGCCACACUGGAACUGAGACACGGUCCAGACUCCUACGGGAGGCAGCAGUGGGGAAUAUUGCACAAUGGGCGCAAGCCUGAUGCAGCCAUGCCGCGUGUGUGAAGAAGGCCUUCGGGUUGUAAAGCACUUUCAGCGAGGAGGAAGGUGGUGAGCUUAAUACGCUCAUCAAUGA